GUCAUGUUUGUCUCUUGUUGAGAGUUGUCUCAUUAGCAAUUCUACCACAUCUUCUGUUUUAUGUGGUCAGAAAACAAAAGCAAAAUCUUAUAAAGGAGAAGUCUUCAAUUUGCUAAAGAAUGCGUUUGUCCAAACAAUGAAACUAUAACUUUGAUUUUUUUUUAUUUGGCAAAUACGAUUCGAUUAGUUGCGAUUAAAAUCCUUCUCUCAUAGCGUUGGUCAAUAACUAUAUAUUUUUUCACCAUAUAACGCGUACAUAAAAUAUCGCACGUCCAUUCCUCUGUCUGUCCUUCCGGUCC
RNAcentral lists this long non-coding RNA (299 nucleotides) under Mytilus galloprovincialis (Mediterranean mussel). Lineage: Eukaryota; Metazoa; Mollusca; Bivalvia; Mytilida; Mytilidae. The record is from RNAcentral.